Molecule: small nucleolar RNA, 209 nt
Organism: Jaculus jaculus (lesser Egyptian jerboa)
Lineage: Eukaryota; Metazoa; Chordata; Mammalia; Rodentia; Dipodidae
Gene: U3
Rfam family: Small nucleolar RNA U3
About the family: Small nucleolar RNAs (snoRNAs) are involved in the processing and modification of rRNA in the nucleolus. There are two main classes of snoRNAs: the box C/D class, and the box H/ACA class.
Source: Ensembl
AAGACUAUACUUUCAGGGAUCAUUUCUAUAGUUCCUUAUUAGAGAGGUUUCUCAGACUGUGUAGAAUACACAAAACCAUGAAGAGGCACAGUAUUCUCUCCUGAGCUUGAAGCUGGCACUGUGUGUUAUUUUGUGCAACUGCCCAUUGCCAUUGAUCGUUCUUUUCUCUCCUUGGUAGAGUUAGAAGGAGAGAACACAGUCUGAGUGGA